AAGUCGUAACAAGGUUUCCGUAGGUGAACCUGCGGAAGGAUCAUUAACAAACUGGCCCUUGUGGCCUCUUGGUUCUUGACUGUGCGCCUUCGGGCUGCACGUCUAGUUCCAAACUCGUGAUUCUCACACCUGUGCACAUUUCGGACGUGGCAACACGUCCGCCAUUUUUAUACACACACUAGUUCAUGAAUGUAAUUGAUUUUUAUAAUUAAUACAACUUUCAACAACGGAUCUCUUGGCUCUC
RNAcentral lists this unclassified non-coding RNA (244 nucleotides) under air metagenome. RNAcentral describes it as "partial contains small subunit ribosomal RNA, internal transcribed spacer 1, and 5.8S ribosomal RNA". The stretch from base 1 to 46 matches the Rfam family "Eukaryotic small subunit ribosomal RNA", at positions 1786 to 1831 of the family's 1831-position model. The record is from RNAcentral.